UAGUCCACGCCGUAAACGAUGGUCACUAGCUGUUCGGACUUCGGUCUGAGUGGCUAAGCGAAAGUGAUAAGUGACCCACCUGGGGAGUACGUUCGCAAGAAUGAAACUCAAAGGAAUUGACGGGGGCCCGCACAAGCGGUGGAGCAUGUGGUUUAAUUCGAUGAUACGCGAGGAACCUUACCAGGGCUUAAAUGUAAGUUGCAUUAGUUAGAGAUAGCUAUUUCUUCGGACUACUUACAAGGUGCUGCAUGGUUGUCGUCAGCUCGUGCCGUGAGGUGUCAGGUUAAGUCCUAUAACGAGCGCAACCCCUGUUGUUAGUUGCCAGCGAUUCAAGUCGGGAACUCUAACAAGACUGCCGGUGCAAACCGUGAGGAAGGUGGGGAUGACGUCAAAUCAUCACGGCCCUUACGUCCUGGGGCUACACACGUGCUACAAUGGGAGGGGUACAGAGGGGUUGCUACCUGGUAACAGGGAUGCCAAUCUCAAAAAACCCUUCU
Molecule: ribosomal RNA, 497 nt
Filed under: uncultured bacterium
Lineage: Bacteria
Description: bacterial SSU rRNA
Rfam family: Bacterial small subunit ribosomal RNA
Source: RNAcentral